GAUAAGCGCCGGUAAGGUGAUAUGAACCGUUAUAACCGGCGAUACCCGAAUGGGGAAACCCAGUGUGACUCGUCACACUAUCAUUAACUGAAUCCAUAGGUUAAUGAGGCGAACCGGGGGAACUGAAACAUCUAAGUACCCCGAGGAAAAGAAAUCAACCGAGAUUCCCCCAGUAGCGGCGAGCGAACGGGGAGGAGCCCAGAGCCUGAAUCAGCAUGUGUGUUAGUGGAAGCGUCUGGAAAGGCGCGCGAUACAGGGUGACAGCCCCGUACACAAAAGCGCAUGUGCUGUGAGCUCGAUGAGUAGGGCGGGACACGUGGUAUCCUGUCUGAAUAUGGGGGGACCAUCCUCCAAGGCUAAAUACUCCUGACUGACCGAUAGUGAACCAGUACCGUGAGGGAAAGGCGAAAAGAACCCCGGCGAGGGGAGUGAAAAAGAACCUGAAACCGUGUACGUACAAGCAGUGGGAGCCCCACCACUAAGCCAGUGGUGAACUCCACAUACGCAUCCUUUGCUGAAGGCAAUGGUUGGCGGAGCGUAAGCGACGCCCAACACAAAAAACAAGCAGAGGGGGCUUAGUGGUGGGGUGACUGCGUACCUUUUGUAUAAUGGGUCAGCGACUUAUAUUCUGUAGCAAGGUUAACCGCAUAGGGGAGCCGGAGGGAAACCGAGUCUUAAUUGGGCGUUAAGUUGCAGGGUAUAGACCCGAAACCCGGUGAUCUAGCCAUGGGCAGGUUGAAGGUUGGGUAACACUAACUGGAGGACCGAACCGACUAAUGUUGAAAAAUUAGCGGAUGACCUGUGGCUGGGGGUGAAAGGCCAAUCAAACCGGGAGAUAGCUGGUUCUCCCCGAAAGCUAUUUAGGUAGCGCCUCGUGAAUUCAUCUCCGGGGGUAGAGCACUGUUUCGGCUAGGGGGCCAUCCCGGCUUACCAACCCGAUGCAAACUGCGAAUACCGGAGAAUGUUAUCACGGGAGACACACGGCGGGUGCUAACGUCCGUCGUGAAGAGGGAAACAACCCAGACCGCCAGCUAAGGUCCCAAAGUCAUGGUUAAGUGGGAAACGAUGUGGGAAGGCCCAGACAGCCAGGAUGUUGGCUUAGAAGCAGCCAUCAUUUAAAGAAAGCGUAAUAGCUCACUGGUCGAGUCGGCCUGCGCGGAAGAUGUAACGGGGCUAAACCAUGCACCGAAGCUGCGGCAGCGAACGUAUCACUUAAAGCGAUUCAGCGGGUUACGAUUGACGGAGCGAAGCGACGUCAAAGCGUAUACAAAGUCGAGUCGGUUUAAGGAUACGUUCGUUGGGUAGGGGAGCGUUCUGUAAGCCUGUGAAGGUGGCCUGUGAGGGUUGCUGGAGGUAUCAGAAGUGCGAAUGCUGACAUAAGUAACGAUAAAGCGGGUGAAAAGCCCGCUCGCCGGAAGACCAAGGGUUCCUGUCCAACGUUAAUCGGGGCAGGGUGAGUCGACCCCUAAGGCGAGGCCGAAAGGCGUAGUCGAUGGGAAACGGGUUAAUAUUCCCGUACUUGGUGUUACUGCGAAGGGGGGACGGAGAAGGCUAUGUUGGCCGGGCGACGGUUGUCCCGGUUUAAGCGUGUAGGUGUGUGUUCCAGGUAAAUCCGGUUCACUUUAACACUGAGGCGUGAUGACGAGGCACUACGGUGCUGAAGCAACAAAUGCCCUGCUUCCAGGAAAAGCCUCUAAGCAUCAGGUAACAUCAAAUCGUACCCCAAACCGACACAGGUGGUCAGGUAGAGAAUACCAAGGCGCUUGAGAGAACUCGGGUGAAGGAACUAGGCAAAAUGGUGCCGUAACUUCGGGAGAAGGCACGCUGACAC
RNAcentral lists this ribosomal RNA (1831 nucleotides) under Salmonella enterica subsp. enterica serovar Takoradi. RNAcentral describes it as "partial 23S ribosomal RNA". It matches the Rfam family "Bacterial large subunit ribosomal RNA", at positions 70 to 1757 of the family's 2925-position model. The record is from RNAcentral. Lineage: Bacteria; Pseudomonadati; Pseudomonadota; Gammaproteobacteria; Enterobacterales; Enterobacteriaceae.